UCCCUGGUGGUCUAGUGGCUAAGGAUUCUGUGCUCUCACCACCGUGGCAUGGUUCAAAUUCUCGGGAA
This is a non-coding RNA of Pangasianodon gigas (Mekong giant catfish), 68 nucleotides long. The record is from the annotation of a GenBank genome assembly. Lineage: Eukaryota; Metazoa; Chordata; Actinopteri; Siluriformes; Pangasiidae.